AAUCAACGGCGCAACGGCGGUGCUGAACCGGGAGCACGCAACUUCUGCUAUUGGACGGAGUAAUUAAAUCUGGCACAAAAAGCUGCAUUUGGCGGCAUAGGAUUAUUACUAUAAUGCUGCACCAGUACAUCUCUAAUGUUUUUUGUUCAUAUUGUGCGAACACAACCUGCUCGACCACCGCGGUAGGUCGUCCUCGUGGUCAUCGUCGUUCUUGUCCUGGUCAUCGUCGUUCUUGUCCUGGUCAUCGUCGUUCUUGUCCUGGUCAUCGUCGUUCUUGUUCUGGUCAUCGUCGUUCUUGUCCUGGUCAUCGUCGUUCUUGUCCUGGUCAUCGUCGUUCUCGUCCUGAUCCUCGUCGUCCUCGUCCUGAUCAUCGUCGUCCUUAUUCUGUUUUUCGUCGUCUUCGUCGUUCUCGUCGUCCUUCAGAUUUUCUGUUUUGUUUCUGGAAGCUUAUUCAAGAACUCUGCUCCUGUGUAGGAGUACACUCUCUCCUUCGAGGAAAUUCCCUAAUUUCAAAUCGUGCUGGGAAGAGGAGAGCAUCUAUGGCGGGGAGCCAGGGGUAGCUGGCGCCCAUUCAGUUAUAAUAAUAACUAAUGAGUUUGUGGGUGGAUAUAUGUAUGAAUAUAUAAUUUUUAGAUAUUUAGUUUUCUAAAAAAUUUUAAAUUUUUUAUGUAUAUGAUGAUGCAUGUGUAAACUAUUUACAUGGAAAAAUGAUUUAUAUUUUAGAAAAACUAAUCAAAGAUAUUUAAUAUAGCAUCUGAACUUCUAGCACUAAUUUCUUCUUCGAUUUACAAAAAUAUCAGACAAUUUUAGUUUGAAAUUAACACAAUAAAAUGAGUUGUAAAAUCAGUUAUUAAUUAUAAUUUAAAAGAGGAUCCUAUUAAAAAUUCUAUC
Molecule: long non-coding RNA, 891 nt
Filed under: Physcomitrium patens
Lineage: Eukaryota; Viridiplantae; Streptophyta; Bryopsida; Funariales; Funariaceae
Description: long non-coding RNA (PPAT_LNC001798)
Source: RNAcentral